RNAcentral lists this ribosomal RNA (429 nucleotides) under Bacteroidota bacterium. RNAcentral describes it as "Bacteroidetes bacterium partial 16S ribosomal RNA". It matches the Rfam family "Bacterial small subunit ribosomal RNA", at positions 355 to 776 of the family's 1533-position model. Lineage: Bacteria; Pseudomonadati; Bacteroidota. The record is from RNAcentral.
UAGGGAAUCUUCCGCAAUGGACGCAAGUCUGACGGAGCAACGCCGCGUGAGUGAAGAAGGAUUUCGGUUCGUAAAACUCUGUUGUUAGAGAAGAACAGCGCAUAGAGUAACUGUUAUGCGUGUGACGGUAUCUAACCAGAAAGCCACGGCUAACUACGUGCCAGCAGCCGCGGUAAUACGUAGGUGGCAAGCGUUGUCCGGAUUUAUUGGGCGUAAAGCGAGCGCAGGCGGUCAAUUAAGUCUGAUGUGAAAGCCCCCGGCUCAACCGGGGAGGGUCAUUGGAAACUGGUUGACUUGAGUGCAGAAGAGGGGAGUGGAAUUCCAUGUGUAGCGGUGAAAUGCGUAGAUAUAUGGAGGAACACCAGUGGCGAAGGCGACUCUCUGGUCUGUACCUGACGCGGAGGCUCGAAAGCGUGGGUAGCAAACAGG